AGGGGACUGUACCAUCAAAACUUA
Molecule: non-coding RNA, 24 nt
Filed under: Arabidopsis thaliana (thale cress)
Lineage: Eukaryota; Viridiplantae; Streptophyta; Magnoliopsida; Brassicales; Brassicaceae
Source: RNAcentral